RNAcentral lists this ribosomal RNA (468 nucleotides) under uncultured bacterium. RNAcentral describes it as "partial 16S ribosomal RNA". It matches the Rfam family "Bacterial small subunit ribosomal RNA", at positions 28 to 507 of the family's 1533-position model. The record is from RNAcentral.
GACGAACGCUGGCGGCGGGCUUAACACAUGCAAGUCGAACGGAAAGGCCCUGCUUUUGUGGUGUGCUCGAGUGGCGAACGGGUGAGUAACACGUGAGUAACCUGCCCUUGACUUUGGGAUAACUUCAGGAAACUGGGGCUAAUACCGGAUAGGAUCUCCUGCUGCAUGGUGGGGGUUGGAAAGUUUCGGCGGUUGGGGAUGGACUCGCGGCUUAUCAGCUUGUUGGUUGGGUAGUGGCUUACCAAGGCUUUGGAGGGUAGCCGGCCUGAGAGGGUGACCGGCCACAUUGGGACUGAGAUACGGCCCAGACUCCUACGGGAGGCAGCAGUGGGGAAUAUUGCACAAUGGGCGGAAGCGUGAUGCAGCAACGCCGCGUGCGGGAUGACGGCCUUCGGGUUGUAAACCGCUGUCGCCUGUGACGAAGCGUGAGUGACGGUAAUGGGUAAAGAAGCACCGGCUAACUACGUG